CCUACGGGAGGCAGCAGUGGGGAAUAUUGGACAAUGGGGGGAACCCUGAUCCAGCGACGCCGCGUGAGUGAAGAAGUAUUUCGGUAUGUAAAGCUCUGUCAGCAGGGAAGAAAGAAAUGACGGUACCUGACCAAGAAGCCUCGGCUAACUACGUGCCAGCAGCCGCGGGAAUACGUAGGGGGCAAGCGUUAUCCGGAAUUACUGGGUGUAAAGGGAGCGUAGACGGGUAAGUAAGUCUGGAGUGAAAGGCCGGGGCCCAACCCCGGGACUGGCGUGGAAACUAUUGAACUUGAGUGCAGGAGAGGUAAGCGGAAUGCGUAGUGUAGCGGUGAAAUGCGUAGAUAUUAGGAGGAACACCAGUGGCGAAGGCGGCUUACUGGACUGUAACUGACGUUGAGGCUCGAAAGCGUGGGGAGCAAACAGGAUUAGAUACCCCUGUAGUC
This 443-nucleotide ribosomal RNA is filed under the name uncultured bacterium. RNAcentral's name for it is "partial 16S ribosomal RNA". It matches the Rfam family "Bacterial small subunit ribosomal RNA", at positions 338 to 795 of the family's 1533-position model. The record is from RNAcentral.